GGUCACUACAAGUUUGAAGCCAGCCUGGGCUACAUGGAAGGUUCUAAGCUAGCCUGGGCUAUAGAGUAAGACCUCAUCUUUAAAAAAUAAAUAAAUAAUAAAAGACAAGAGAAGAAAAGGUGCUCAAACACCUCAGCUGAGCAACAGAGGCUGUGGAGUCUAUCGGCGAGCAUCUGGCCAGGGCCGUUGCCAGCAUGGCUGACCGUGUGGUGCCAAGAGCAGCUGCCAGGGGACUCUUCCGAAAAGUCCCUAUGGUGUCUAAUGGGUUUGGGGAGACCCUUGAGCCAGCUGUGGGACAUCAACAGGCUCCUCCCUGUCUGCCUCUCUGCAUCAUCUACUCCUCUGGGUCCCUCUGAGACUCCAGCAAGAUUUUGAGCUUUUGCAAGUGACAGGAUCCGGAAGUUGUGAAGAAUUACCACAACACAGGAGAAAGAGCCUAAUACAGUGAAGAUAAAUAUGCACGGUAAAUUAAAGUUCUUGAGCAAGUCUGCCAAGCCUGGCAUAUGGAGAAGACCUCAAAGAAACUUACCCUUCCAUCUGGAGUCCUGGGACCAGAGUAGGCUGGGGCCUCGCCCAUCAGAACUGGCCACACAUCAAAAAAUUCCUAGGGGUUAAAAAAAAAAAAGAAAAC
RNAcentral lists this long non-coding RNA (631 nucleotides) under Rattus norvegicus (Norway rat). RNAcentral describes it as "long non-coding RNA NONRATT013848". The record is from RNAcentral. Lineage: Eukaryota; Metazoa; Chordata; Mammalia; Rodentia; Muridae.